UUUUGGACAAUGGGGGAAACCCUGAUCCAGCCAUCCCGCGUGUGCGAUGAAGGCCUUCGGGUUGUAAAGCACUUUUGGCAGGAAAGAAAUCGCAUAGGUUAAUAACCUGUGUGGAUGACGGUACCUGCAGAAUAAGCACCGGCUAACUACGUGCCAGCAGCCGCGGUAAUACGUAGGGUGCAAGCGUUAAUCGGAAUUACUGGGCGUAAAGCGUGCGCAGGCGGUUCGGAAAGAAAGAUGUAAAUCCCAGGGCUUAACCUUGAACUGCAUUUUUACUCCCAGCAGAGAUGUCAAGGGGGGUGAAUUCCGCGUGAGCAGUAAAUGCGAGUUGCGGGGAACACCAUGCAAGGAGCCCCCUGGGAAUCUGCGUAUGCAG
Molecule: ribosomal RNA, 376 nt
Filed under: uncultured bacterium
Lineage: Bacteria
Description: bacterial SSU rRNA
Rfam family: Bacterial small subunit ribosomal RNA
Source: RNAcentral